Molecule: ribosomal RNA, 265 nt
Filed under: uncultured archaeon
Lineage: Archaea
Description: partial 16S ribosomal RNA
Rfam family: Archaeal small subunit ribosomal RNA
Source: RNAcentral
AGUCACUGACAUUAGAUACCCGCGUAGUCCAGGGUGUAAACGCUGCAGACUUGGUGUUGGAAGCCCUUUGGGGGCAUUCAGUGCCGGAGAGAAGUUGUUAAGUCUGCUACUUGGGGAGUACGUCCGCAAGGAUGAAACUUAAAGGAAUUGGCGGGGGAGCACCGCAACGGGAGGAGCGUGCGGUUUAAUUUGGAUUCAACACCGUAAACUCACCAGGGAAGACUGUUACAUGAAGGCCGAGAUGAAGACUCUGCUAGAUUUUCAG